This 596-nucleotide long non-coding RNA is filed under the name Olea europaea subsp. europaea. The record is from RNAcentral. Lineage: Eukaryota; Viridiplantae; Streptophyta; Magnoliopsida; Lamiales; Oleaceae.
GUUGAUUCAGGCCACGAAAUGAAAAUUGAAGAUUUUGCAGGUUCAAUUGGAUGAAAUUAGAAGUUAGAGGACUGAAAUUGCAAAAGAAAAUGACUUAAAAGAAUCAAGAAUCGAAUUCGGGGACCUAAACACAAAGUUUGAAAGAUGUAUAAUUGGGCGACUCGCCGAUUAUAAAUUCAGAAAUCAACAUCAGUGACUUCAAACUUGGCUUGGGUGAAUACCCCAUUUUCUACUGGAUGACAGCCCAGGCCAAAAUCUAAAAUCGCGAACAGUUUCAUUUUUCAUUCCAAAUUCUACAUGAAAGUCAUUUUCUUGCACGAUUUUUGACCUAAUUUCACCUUUGCAAAUACAAAACAUGGCUAGACAAUAUGGAGAGCAUCUUUUAUGCAACAAAAAACUCAAGAACUUGAGGAAAUCAUGUUGAAGAAGAGGGCAAAAGUCAAUUUUGUGAGAGAUUUCAACCGAAGAAUUGCAAGAAGAUUAUCGAUGAGACUUCAUACCUGAAAAUUUGAAAAAUGAUUGGGAGAACAAUUCAAGAGAUAUCAAGAAUACAUCAUUUCUCUUCAAUAUACUUGGCUAGAUUUCUACAUUGCGAG